Molecule: non-coding RNA, 93 nt
Organism: Mycena polygramma
Lineage: Eukaryota; Fungi; Basidiomycota; Agaricomycetes; Agaricales; Mycenaceae
Source: the annotation of a GenBank genome assembly
GUCUUUGUAGCUUAGAGGUCAAGUGCUCUUUCAAAGUACGGACAUUAGCAGUUCUUUAAAGGAGAGACGUGGGUUCGAGCCCCACCGGAGACA